CUUCCUGCAAGCAUGUUUCUAAUAUUUAAAAGUGCAAAUACUUUUACCUUGUCUUGUGAUUUAAAAUAUCGAAUAUCUUUAGUUCGAUACUUUUUACUGUUAUAUGAACAGUGGCAACUUUAUUUAAAAAGCAUUUUGAUUAUCUUAAUCAGUUUUCUGGAAAUUAUUGUCUGAGUUCUUUUACAGUUUGGAACUAUUGAUGACUCUAUAGUAGUCAUAUUUUGAUACUACAAUAUAUGCCUGGUCUUCUGUUCCAGACAUAAACCCUAGAUUUUAAAUAACUAAAUAACUCUGUUGAUUCCUUUUCACCGUAUUGCGGUGGACUUCAAAACUAUACUCAGACUUUGAUAAAAUUGGUUUUGACAGUACUUUGAAAUUGAAAACUAAAGAGUUUUCAGAAAGUUUUGAAAGGAUGAUUGUAUGGCGUAAGGGGCUAGUGAUUAGUCCAGCCAGAGAGACCAGCAAAAAUAUUUUGUUUUGAUUGGAUGUAUGCGUAAGAGGCCGGGACGGCGGUCCAGUGAAGGGCUAUUUAGGUAUUAUUGAAAUAUGAUAAUACUUUGCUGCCAAAGGCCAAUGUGUUGCCUUCUAUUUGGUACCUGUUAAUUAGGACAUGCUUCUACGAAGUGUGGUCCCGUGCUAUCACAUGGUAUGAUCAAUUGUGAUAGUGCACCCGUUAGUUGAGAUUCCAAUCCAAAAACUGGUCAUUUAUUGUUUAAGCUUAUAAUAGCUUAUGUUUACUGUCAAAUUUAUCUUGUGAUUUUCAAGCAUAUUGAUUUAUAUGUUUGCUAAACUUUUGAGUUACAACUGUUACAUUUACUUCAAAAGUUUGCUUUAUUUCAAAUACUCUGAUUUAAUUCAAAAGAAAUUAUAUCUUGUGGCUCUUGCCUUUCACACUAUCUUGCUGAGCAUUUUCGCUCACCCUUGCUAUUAUUUCUAACCAUUUCAGCUAGGGAUUAAGAAGGUAACAUGUAUAAGCUGCGCGUAAGAUUGAUGAUAGGCGAC
RNAcentral lists this long non-coding RNA (1002 nucleotides) under Daucus carota (carrot). Its description in RNAcentral is "long non-coding RNA (DCAR_LNC006763)". The record is from RNAcentral. Lineage: Eukaryota; Viridiplantae; Streptophyta; Magnoliopsida; Apiales; Apiaceae.